Molecule: long non-coding RNA, 10785 nt
Filed under: Homo sapiens (human)
Lineage: Eukaryota; Metazoa; Chordata; Mammalia; Primates; Hominidae
Description: non-protein coding lnc-RIPOR1-1:5
Source: RNAcentral
ACUUGACGCUGCAGGGCGGGCGGGGUAAAGAAGGGAGCGAGCCCUUCUCAAGCUUGGAAAGUUUCCAGACUGCUGGGCCAGCCUCCUCCCCAGAGGGAAACUGAGGUCCGAUUGAGGUUUCUCCAAGACCGCCCACUCCUGCUCCUGUCCCCAAACCCCUUUCUGCCUAGGGUUCCUGGAAGCCAAGGAAACAGAACGAACUGUUCCCUGGGUGGGCGAGCCACUGCAGAGUACAAAGCUUUCAGGCCGCCUGCCUCAUUAGCACUAAUGGCUGCUCCCUUCCGCCCUGUGUCGUCAGGACUGUCUAUGCCUGGUCUCAUCAGCACAAGGCUGGGGUAAGGACUGCCCUUUUGUGGAGAUGGCAGGACAUACAGGACCCUGCUGCCCCUGCCUUCCCUCACCCCACUGCAGAGCUGUUUAUCACACACGUGUCCAUCUGGGAAAGGAAUGCAGGCUGAAUCAGCUUUGAGAGGAUCGCAAGGCCCCAGUGCACAAACUGGGUUGGCACAAGGCAGUGGAAAAAAGAUGAAGGGGGCCAGGUAUGGUGGCUCACACCUGUAAUUCCAGCAUUUUGAGAGGCCAAGGUGGGAGGAUCACAAGGCCAGGGGUUUAAGACCAGCCUGGGUAUCAUGGUGAGACCCCGUUGCUACAAAAAAUAAAAAAAUAGCUGGGUGUAGUGGUGCAUGCCUGUAGUAGAGGCUGAGGUGGGAGGAUGGCUUGAGCACAGGGAUUCAAGAGUGCAGUGAGCUAUGACUGCAUCACCACACUCCAGGCUGAGCGACAGAGCAAGAUCCUGUCUCAAAAAGAAAAGAAGAUAAAGGGUGGCCAGGCACGGUGGCUCACGCCUGUAAUCCCAGCAUUUUGGGAGGCCAAGGUGGGCGGAUCACUGGAGGUCAGGAGUUCAAACCAGCUUGGCCAAUAUGGUGAAACCCUAUCUCUACUAAAAAUACAAAAGUUAUUCAGGCAUGGUGGCACAUGCCUGUAAUCCCACCUACCCGGGAGGCUGAGGCAGGAGAAUCACUUGUAACACGGGAGGCAGAGACUGCAGUGAGCAGAGAUCGCACCACUGCACUCCAACCUGGGUGACAGAGUGAGACUCCAUCUUAAAAAAAAAAUGCUAUUUAAAAUGAAAUGAAGCAAUCCAUACUCCCAACAUUUAUAUAUACUGGGACAUCCAAGAAAUUAAAAUCACACCUCAUUAUGUCUUUUUCUUUGAGUCAGGGUCUCACUCUGUCACCCAGGCUGGGCCUGGUCAGCACCCAUGCUAUGGAGAGCUCUUCAUGGUCUGGUGUGGACAGAGUGGGAGUGGAAGAUCUCCUCCCACACAGGUGCUCAGUGUCUUACCUCACCUACGGGCAGCAGCUGUCUUCACCUGAGUGUGUGCACACAGGUGUAUCAGCCCCAUGGGCAGUGAUGGACGAGGGCUGAGGCACUCACAGGGCAGCCCAUGCCCCGGUCAGGUCCAGUGGGGGAGAUAUCAAGAAAACCCAGCGCCAAAAUGCAAUGAGCUGUGAUCGCGCUACUGCACUCCAGCCUGGGCGACAAAGCAAGUUGCCGUCUCAAAAAACAAAAACAAAACUAAACAAAAAAAAAAAAACGGCCAGGUGUAGUGAUUCACACCUUCUUGAGCCCAGGAGUGGCAACAUAGUGAGACUCUGUCUCUACCAAAAAAAAAAAAUUUAAUUAGCUGAAUGUGGUGAUGCACACCUGUAGUCCCAGCUACUCAGGAGACAGGGAGGAGGAUAGCUUCGGCCCAGGAGAUUGAGGCUGCAGUGAGCCAUGGUGGUGGUGGCUCACGCCUAUAAUCCCAGCACUUUGGGAGGCUGAGGCAGGCAGAUCACUUGAGCCUAGGAAUUCGAGGCCAGCCUGGGCAACAUGGCGAAACCCAGUCCCCAUUAAAAAAAAAAAAAAAAAAGGCCAGGUGCGGUGGCUCACGCCUGUAAUCCCAGCACUUUGGGAGGCCGAGGUGGGCAGAUCACAAGGUCAGGAGAUGGAGACUAUCCUGCCUAGCACAGCAAAACCCCAUCUCUACUAAAAAUACAAAAAAAAAAAAAAUUUAGCCGGGCGUCAUAGCGGGCACCUGUAAUCACAGCUACUUGGGAGGCUGAGGCAGGAGAAUGGUGUGAACCCAGGAGGCAGAGCUUGCGGUGAGCCGAGAUCGCGCCACUGCACUCCAGCCUGGGUGACUGAGCGAGACUCUCUCAAAAAAAAAAAAAAAAGUUUCACAGCCGGAUGCAGUGGCUCACGCCUGUAAUCCCAGCAUUUUGGGAGGCCAAGGUGGGCAGAUCAUGAGGUCAGGAGUUCAAGACCAGCCUGGCCAACAUGGUGAAGCCCCAUCUCUACUAAAAAUACAAAAAUUAGCUGGGCAUGGUGGCACGCACCUAUGAUCCUAGAUACUUGGGAGGCUGAGGCAGGAGAUUUACUUGAACUGGGACCCAGGAGGCGGAGGUUGCAGUUAGCUGAGAUCGUGCCACUGCACUCCAGCCUGGUAACACUCCAGCCUGGUAACAGAGUGAGACUCCAUCUCAAAAAAAAAAAAGUUUCACUAUGUGGGUAAUUUUACGGUAAGGAACCAGCCUGAUAUUCCCAGGACAAUGCUUGUUGGCAAAAGGACCUUCAGAAAUAUGUGGCAUGUUCUGGGAGGAGGAUUUGGGAAACCCUGGGGGAGGCAGAGCCUCCUAAGUGAGGGUGUGGGCCCGGAACACAGGGACUCUGUGCAGGGAGGAGAAAGGGGAGAGUGUGCAUGCUCGUUCCAGAGACCACAUGAGGACAGAGAGGGGUGCUCAAACCCUCUCCCUUCUCUUCUUUUUCCUCCUGCAGUGUACUCCCCUUCAAGGGCCCUGUUCCCACCUUGUCCAGGGGAGAGGGUGGGGGGUGCAGGGAAAAACUGCAAGCACCCGUGGCUCUGUCAAUCAGGGUUGAUUUUGAAACCCCUACCCAGCCCAUUGCCCCUGCCCCAGAGAGCACAGCCAUGUGUUUCCUGUGAAUCAUCUGUAGGAUUUCCUAAGGCAGAGGUUGCCUGGAGAGGCACGGUCUCCUCAGUCAUUCAGGGAGAGGAGAAGAUGGAUGGGGGUUCUCUCGGGCUGGUGUAUUGAGCCCUGAGCUAGAGAGGAUCUGUGAUUGUUAAUUUUGUGUGUCAACUUGACUGGGCCAGGAAUGCCCAGAUAUCUGGUUAAAUAUUAUUUCUAGGUGUGCCUGUGAGGGUGUUUCCAGAAUCAUCCAAUCCUUUGAGGGUUGGAAUAAAACAAAAAGAUAGAGAAAGUUGGUGCCGUGGCUCAUGCCUGUAAUCCCACCACUUUGGGAAGCCGAGGUGGGAGACUGUCUUGAGCCCAGGAGUUUGAGACCAGCCUGGGUAACAUACAGAGACCCAAUCUCUACAAAAAAAUUUAAAAAUAGCCAGACACAGUGGUGCACAUCAGUGGUCCCAGUGACUCCAGAGGCUGAGGUGGGGAGGAUCGCUUGAUCCCAGGAGGUUAAAGCUGUAGUGAGCCAUGAUCACACUACUGCAUUCCAGCUUAUGCACAUGAGACCUUGUCUUAAAAAAAUAAAAAAUUUUAAAAAAGAAAGAAAACUGGAAACAAUCCAAAUAUCCAUCAACAGCAAAAUGGAUAAUAACAUUAUAGUGAUAUAAUUGGGCCAGGCACAGUGGCUCACACCUGUAAUCCUGGCACUUUGGAAGGCCGAGACGAGUGGAUCACUUGAGCUCAGGAGUUCCAGACCAGCCUGAGCAACAUGACAAAACCCUGUCUCUUCAAAAAUUACAAAAAUUAGCUAGACAUGGUGGCGCAAGCCUGUAGUCCCAGCUUCUCGAGAGGCUGAGGUGGGAGGAUCACUUGAAUCCAGGAGGCAGAGGUUGCAGUGAACCAAGAUUGCACCACUGCACUCCAGCAUGGGUGACAGAGUGAGACCCUAUCUCAAACAAACAAACAAAAGUAUGUUUAUAUAAUUGACAACUAUACAGCAAUGACAAGAGAAUAAACUACUGCUACACACUGCAACAUGAAUGAAUUGCACAGACAUAAGGUUGAAUGAAAGAAGCAUGCUGCAGAAGAGUGAGGAUGGAAUGAAUCCAGCCCUAUGACAUUCAGACCCAAGCAAAAUUAUAAUAAAUGGUGAUAAAACACAACAGCGGUUAACUCUGGGAGGGUGGGAAAUUAUUGACUGAGGGGGGAAAUGAGGAAAACAUGUGAGGUGUUGGAAAGGUUUUGUAUCUUGAUCUCAGUGGUGGUCACGCAGGUAUAUAAGUAUGUAAAAUUUCAUCAAGCUGCACAUUUAAGACUUGUGUAUUUUGCCAAGUGCAGUGGCUCACACCUGUAAUCCCAGCACUUUGGGAGGCCAAAGUGGGCAGAUCACCUGAGAUCAGGAGUUCGAGACCAGCCUGGCCAAUAUGGCAAAACCUCGUCUCCACUAAAAAUAAAAAAUUAGCCAGAUGUGGUGGUGUGUGCCUGUAGUCCCAGCUACUCAGGAGGUUCAGGCAGGAGAAUCACUUGAACCCAGGAGGCGGAGGUUGCAGUCAGCCAAGAUUGUGCCACUGCACUCCAGCCUGGGUGACAGAGUAAGACUCCAUCUCAAAAUAUAUAUAUAUAUUGUAUUUUUUAUUGGAUAUUAUGUCUCAAUGAAAACAUUUUUUCUUUUCCUUUAUUAGUGGCUCAAAAAAUAAUGGAGUGUCUGGCUGGACGCUGUGGCUCCCGCCUGUAAUCCCAGCACUUUGGGAGGCCGAGGCGGGUGGAUCACAAGGUCAGGUCAGGAGUUCGAGACCAGCCUGACCAACAUGGUGAAACUCCAUCUCUACUAAAAAUACAAAAAUUAGCCAGGCACGGUGGCACGUGCCUGUAAUUCCAGCUACUCAGGAGGCUGAGGCAGGAGAAUUGCUUGAACCCUGGAGGCGGAGGGUUGCGGUGAGCCGAGAUUGCAUCACUGCACUCCAGCCUGGGUGACAGAGCGAGACUCCGUCUCAAAAAAAAAAAAGAAAAAGAAAGAAAGAAACUUCCCUCAUCUCUGUAGCUAUUUGUGUAACUUCCCCUAUCUGUGUAACUACUGUUAACUGUGCAGCUGUGGGCAUGUCUUUAGGAAAGCAUAUGUAGCUUCUCUUGUCUCUGUAGUUGCAGGUAUGUUUUAGCAUCCUAUAGGAGAAAGUCACCUUUGUCUCCAAAUUCCCUGGUCCUGGUUUUGAAAAUCCUGCUGGCACCUACUGCUGAAGGCUGUGGCUGGAGAAUUCAGUGAGCUACUCUGAUCUGGACAGGGUCUGAUGGUCCUCACUUGACCUAAGCUGAGCUCUCCCAGGCUGUGAGCAUCCCCAAGGUCAGCCUGUGACUCUCACAGAAGUUCUGACCUCCAGAGCCUUCCCCCUGCUGUGGCCUUUGGGGUAGAGUAGGUUACAUGGGCCAGCACCAUCUGCCAAAGUCAGGGCCAGAAACCUAUCCAUGGGAGCCAGAUUUGGCUUUUGGCUUGGGCUAGUAUUGACUUUGGGCACAUUCUCAUCCCAGAAAGAAUAAUUUGGGGUAUGGGAUUUCAUGUUUUCUUUAGUACAGCCUUGAAAGCCACGUGUACAGGGUGUUUUCUUGCUAAGAUAGCAGUCGGGCUAUAUUUGAGCAGUCCAGAGAAGUUUAAACUACAGAGGCAUCUGGAUAUUGUCACAGUCUUGUCUGAGGUCAAUAGCUUGCAAGCGGUAGAGCUGAGAGUCAUACUGGGGAGUCUGACCCUGUAAUGACCCCCUGGUCACUAUGCUCAGAAAUAAUGACACCUGGAGUUGUAUUUUUCAGCACAGAUUGACUUUGAAUAAUAAAUACGUAAGAAUAUUUCUUCAAUUACACACACACACACACACACACACACACACACACACACACACACACAUACAUACACAAUUAUGCCAUUUCUCAUCUUCCCUGAAGCACAUGGCCCUUUGGCCUCUCUUUUAUUUUCAUACUUUUUUUUUUUUUUGAGAUGAAGUCUGGCUCUGUCGCCCAGGUGGAGUGCAGUGGCACAGUCUCAGCUCACUGCAACCCCUCCUGGGUUCAAGCAGUUCUCCUGCCUCAGCCUCCCAGGUAGCUGGGAUUACAGGCGUGUGUCACCACACCCAGCUAAUUUUUGUAUUUUUAGUGUAGACGGGGUUUCACCACGUUGGCCAGGCUGGUCUUGAACUUCAGGUGACUUCAGGUGAUCCACCUGCCUCGGCCUCUCAAAGUGGUAGGAUUACAGCCAUGAGCUACCAUGCCCGGCCUGUCAUACUUUUUUUCGGAAACAAAAGAUUAGUUCUGUAUUUCAACAUUAACAAUGACCACACUCUGACUCAAUAUUGGGGAAGUUUUGAAACCAACCCAAUAGUCCCAUAGACAGCUUUUUUGGAUAAACAUAGAAAUCAACCCUUCUGAUCCUAAAGCUUGAAACUUACAUUUGUUUUAUCUGAGUUCCCCUCUCAGGAAAGGAUCCCCAGUCCUCUCAAAAAGUAUCAAAGAACUGAAACCCACCAGAUCAUCCCAUCCAGACAAUGAGACUCAAGGGCCCUCAUUCAUCAUGAUUUGCUUCCUUACCCCUUGCAUUUGUUUUCCCACACACAAUUACAUUUCUUCCCUGCUAUAUAAACUCCUAAUUUUAGUCCAUCAGGGAGAUGGAUUUGAGACCGAUCUCCCGUCUUCUCACCUGCAUCACCCGAUUAAAGCCUUCUUCCUUGGCAAUAAUUGUCUCAGUGAUUGGCUUUCUGUGUGGUGAGCAGCAUGACCUAGACCAAACCUGUGGUAUUUUAAUAACAGUUUGAAGAGUGUGAGUUUGGCCUGAAGGGAGAAGCCAUUGAUGGCAGGCAGAGAUGUAGGCCCAGGUUUGCCAGAGCUUCAGACUUUUUUUUUUUUUUAAGAUGGAAUCUCGCUCUGUUGCCCAGGCUGGAGCACAAUGGCGUGAUCUUGGCUCACUGCAACCUCCACCUCCUGGGUUCAGGCAAUUCUCCUGCCUCAGUCUCCCGAGUAGCUGGGAUUACAGGCAUGUGCCACCACACCCAGCUAAGAGCUUCAGGUUUUUAAAGAAAAGAGAGAAAACAGAAGUUUUUUUUUUUUUUUUUGAGACGGAGUCUCACUCUGUCGCCCAGGCUGGAGUGCAGUGGUGCGAUCUCGGCUCACUGCAAGCUCUGUCUCCCAGGUUCACGCCAUUCUCCUGCCUCAGCCUCCCGAGUAGCUGUUCUACAGGCGCCCACCACCACACCCGGCUAAUUUUUUGAAUUUUUAGUAGAGACAGGGUUUCACCGUGUUAGCCAGGAUGGUCUCAAUCUCCUGACCUCAUGAUCUGCCUGCCUUGACCUCCCAAAGUGCUGGGGUUACAGGCGUGAGCCAAGAAAACAGAACUUUUAAAUGAUGUUUACAUGUCUAGCUUCAAAAAAUGCCAUGCAGGUUGUCGGUUUCCCACUUCCAGGGUAACUGGAUGGAAUUUCUGCCUUCAUGGUGGUUCAAGCCUGAAGUGCCUUGAGACCAGAAGUAAAGAGUUCCUUCCUCCUGCAGCACUGCUAGGUUUCCUGGAGGAGACGGUCUGUAGGUGGGGUUCCUAAAGGUGGAGAGAAGAGGAAGUUACUUCCUAAAGAGAAGGAAGAUAGGGGGUAACUUCAGUGUGGCUUUUGCAGAGUUGUUCAUGACAGGAAUCCUAUCAGGCCCUGAAGUUUCCAUCAGCACAGCCCCCAACCCUCACUGUCCCACACCCUUAGCUUCCUGGUUCUAGUCUCAAGGGAUUCUGCUCACUUCUGUCCUCGCUUUUUUUCUCCCUGGGAACCAAGUAACAGCUGAAGAAGUCCCAGGAGUCCUCCCAUGUCCUCUCAGCAACCCAGGCUGGAGCCUACUCCUUGGUGUUGGCAAAGGAAACCGUCUUUGAAGAGCCCCAGUGAGUCCCUGCUCUGCAAUGCUCAUACCCAUUGUGCUGUUACUGCAAGUCAAUGAGAACGUUGGUGGACUUCUCUCCACUUCACAGAAGAAUGAAUGGAGGCCCAGAACAAUGGCAUGAACCUGUCGUUUCUUGGCCUUUUGGCUAAGAUCAAGUGCAAUGGCAUGAACCUGACCAUAGUCGUAGACAAACAAGAGGCAGAGACAUUGUCUUAGUUUGAGUUCCCACUUCAGAAAACCUUGAGACAAACAUUGUAGCACAGGAAGUUUAUUAAGAGGAUACAAGCCAGGCAUGGUGGCUCACGCCUGUAAUCCCAACACUUUGGGAGGCCAGGGUGGACAGAUUGCCUGAGCCCAGGAGUUCAAAACCAGCCUGGGCAACAUGGGGAAAUCCUGUCUAUAAAAAAUACAAAACUUAGGCUGGGCGCAGUGGCUCACGCCCGUAAUCCCAGCACUCUGGGAGGCUGACAUGGCUGGAUCACUUGAGGUCAGGAGUUUGAGAUCAGCCUGGCCAACACGGUGAAUGAAACCCCAUUUCUACUAAAAAUACAAAAAUUAUCCAGGUGUUGUGGUGUGCACCUGUAAUCCUAGCUACUUGGGAGGCUGAGGCAGGAGGCUCACUUGAACCUGGGAGGCAGAGGUUGCAGUGAGCUGAGAUCGUGCCACUGCCACUCCAGCCUGGGUGACAGCGAGACUCUGUCUCAAAAAAAAAAUAGCCUGGCAUUGUGGCAUAUACCUGCAGUCCCAGCUAUUAGGGAGGCUUAGGUGGGAGGAUUGCUUAAGCCUAGGAGGUCAAGACUGCAGUAAGCCAGCCGGGGGCGGUGGGUCAAGCCUAUAAUCCCAGCACUUUGGGAGGCCGAGGCAGGCGGAUCAUGAGGUCAGGAGAUCAAGACCAUCCUGGCUAACAUGGUGAAACCCUGUCUCUGCUAAAAAUACAAAAAAAUUAGCCGGGUGUGGUGGCGGGCGCCUGUAGUCCCAGCUACUCAGGAGGCUGAGGCAGGAGAAUGGCUUGAACCCGGGAGGCAGAGCUUACAGUGAGCUGAGAUUGCACCACUGCACUCCAGCCUGGGCGACAGAGCAAGACUCCAUCUCAAAAAAAAAAGACUGCAGUAAGCCGUGAGCAUGCCACUACACUCAGUCUGGGCGACAGAGCAAGACCCUGUCUCAAAAAUAAAUAAGGAAAUAAAAGAGGAUACAAAGAACAAGCGUACAAAAAUACAGGGAGGGAAGACAGCCACUAUAAAGUGGGUCAUAAGCAGGGUUCCACCAGGGAUGCCUGGUCCCCCCGGGGUGUGGGUGGGGAACUCUGGGCUGCAGUGCAGAAUGCAUGUCUCAGAGAAGUUCCACCCAAGGCAGGAGGAAGGUGAGUAGAUAUACAGCAACCCUGUCUCAGUCCCUUGGAGGGUUGUUGGGGGAGAGUUAACUCCUAGCACUUCUGACCAACUUGUAGAGUGAGCUCAGAAAGCCCCAGACACAUCAGAGGCAGAUACCAGCAGUGGACACCAAGAGUCUGUUCCACGUGUGUCUAAGCAUACUUAUCCCCCAAAAUGUGGCGCCCACACCAACAGCAUCAGCCUAAGGUAGGAACCUGGGAGGAUGUUAAGUCUGGCUCUGCCCCAACAUAAUGAAUCACAAACUCCUGGGGUAGGGCUCAGCUGCUAGAGUUUGUUUGUUUAUUUGUUUGUUUGUUUGUUUGUUUUGAAAUGGAGUCUCACUGUGUCGCCCAGGCUGGAGUGCAGUGGCUCCAUCUCGGCUCACUGCAACCUCCGCUUCCCAGGUUCCAGCGAUUCUCCUGCCUCAGCCUCCCGAGUAGCUGGGACUACAGGCACGAGCCACCAUGCCCGGCUAAUUUUUGUGUUUUUUAGUAGAGACAAGCUUUCACUAUAUUAGCCAGGCUGGUCUCGAACCCCUGACCUCGUGAUCCGCCCACCUCGGCCUCCCCAAGUGCAGGGAUUACAGAUGUGAGCCACCGCGCCCGGCCAACUGCUAGAGUUUUAACAGACCUUUCAGGUGGCUCUGAUGUGACUGAGCUUUGAGAAUCUCUGCCCUAACCCACCAUUUCUAACUCCAAAGCCCAAGGUCUUUCUGGUACUAGAUGAUGGCUGAGGCCUGCAGCCAAUUAGUGGGAAGGGCUGCUGGGGAUGUUAGAGGCAGAGGAAUAAGCGGCCUGACACUCAGCUCCGGGGACACCAAAUAGGUGCUGGCCCUUGUAACCCAGUGAGGAGGCAGCGCUCAUUCCUUUAUCUUAAAAUAUGUCCUGAGCACUUACUGCAUGCCAGAGCCUGGUGCAAAUGCUUAGGGCUUACUAGGAACCUGGGGGUGGAGGGAGCAGGGUUGAUGUGAAGGCUGGGUAUUGAACACAAAGAAUUUGGGUCUUUUGGGGCUCCUGUGGUCUGGUCCACUCCUUGGAGAUACCCACCAGGAGAUGACUCAGCCUUCCUAGUCCAGGAAGGCCCCCGCCUCUUUUUCUGUGAGCCCAGCCAUCACCUUAUUGCCUUCAGCAUGUCCUGAAUGGAUUUUGUCACUGUUACUGGGGCCUGCAAAGCACACAGCCCUCGUGGUCCAGCUAAGACCACCUGGCCACAGGCCGGCCCACAGCCGUACUUGCAGGGUGAACCAAAGUCAAGGAAGGGUCCAGAGAAGCUGGGUCUGAAUGCCACCCACCACUUCCCCAUGUCAGGAGAUGACACUUAUGUGGACACCCCAGGGAUUCCUAUGAUUCCUCCAACCCAUCACCUUUUCUAGAGCACCCCUCACUCCUCUCUCCAGAGUCUCCCACCUUUCCAGCACUGGCUUCCCAAGUUCCACUCUCUGCAGCCUCCAUCUGUGGCCUGGACCCCAGGAUCCAACCCCCUAAACUCCUUCUAGGCAACCAUCUUGGGCAACUUCACCCAAUGACAACCUAUGCUCCUCCUGUUAUUGACAG